GUGUCAGCAGCCGCGGUAAUACGGAGGGUGCAAGCGUUGUUCGGAAUUAUUGGGCGUAAAGCGCGUGUAGGCGGUCUGUUAAGUCUGGUGUGAAAGCCCCGGGCUCAACCCGGGAAGUGCAUUGGAUACUGACAGACUUGAGUACGGGAGAGGAGAGUGGAAUUCCCAGUGUAGGGGUGAAAUCCGUAGAUAUUGGGAGGAACACCGGUGGCGAAGGCGGCUCUCUGGACCGAUACUGACGCUGAGACGCGAAAGCGUGGGGAGCAAACAGGAUUAGAAACCCUGGUAGUCC
Molecule: ribosomal RNA, 292 nt
Filed under: uncultured bacterium
Lineage: Bacteria
Description: partial 16S ribosomal RNA
Rfam family: Bacterial small subunit ribosomal RNA
Source: RNAcentral